This is a non-coding RNA of Colletotrichum gloeosporioides, 124 nucleotides long. The record is from Rfam. Lineage: Eukaryota; Fungi; Ascomycota; Sordariomycetes; Glomerellales; Glomerellaceae.
ACAUACGACCAUACCCAUUUGGAAAACUCGGGAUCCUCCCGUUCGCUCUCCCAUAGAUAAGCCAAUGAGGGCUGGAGUAGUAGUCGGGUCGGUGACGACCGGCGAAUGCCCGGUGUUGUAUGUC